GCAACUCGACUACAUGAAGCUGGAAUCGCUAGUAAUCGCGAAUCAGAAUGUCGCGGUGAAUACGUUCCCGGGUCUUGUACACACCGCCCGUCACACCAUGGGAGUCAGUAACGCCCGAAGCCGGUGACUCAACCGCAAGGAGAGAGCCGUCGAAGGCAGGUCUGAUAACUGGGGUGAAGUCGUAACAAGGUAGC
Molecule: ribosomal RNA, 194 nt
Filed under: uncultured bacterium
Lineage: Bacteria
Description: partial 16S ribosomal RNA
Rfam family: Bacterial small subunit ribosomal RNA
Source: RNAcentral